UUUUUUUUUUUUUUUGCAUUAUCGUUUGCUGACUUAUUGGCCAAGAGGGCUCUCAAUUAGUUUUAGGUCCAAGAAUUCUUUCUGUAGUUUUCUAAUGCUAGUAUAGCUUCAAGUUAGCUUCUUAAUCUCUCCUGCAGUCGACUGAUUUUUGUUAUUAUUUGCAGCAAUUGAACCUGUUGACAAAGGCUUCAGAUUCAUAUUUGGGUCUAGGAUAUUACAAUCUACCAAUCAAGCUACCGUUUUCGCUUGUGGUACCUUUAUACUCUCUAUCUCCUCUUUGCUUCUGUUUUUCUGUUAUUUAUAGCCAGUCCAAUUUGCUAGAAAUUUAUACUUUCUAAAUCAUCCUAAAAAUUGUAAUGUUGCUAUACAGCUACUAAAUACACUAUGUAUAUAACGCAUAUGUAGGUACACAGUGGUUAAUGUGAUUUAAUAGCUAAGACUAAUUACUAUGAUUUUUUUUGUACUUUUUUGUAUCCUUGCUCCAGUUCGUGACAAUCUCAAAUAUAGUUGUGUUCCACUUUGUUUACUUUUCAUUGUUGUUGUUUGGGAAGAUUAAAUUAACUGCCGUGUCUUCAUUAUAAUAUCAUGCUUGCAUAUUUUUUUUUGUUAGGAUAAAAGGCAAAAAAACAUGAACAUGAAUGAGAGUUGGAUGUCAAUUAAAGAUUACCUAGAUCCUAGAUAUUUGACAGGAGUGAAAGAAUUUGUUGAGUUUGCUUAUUUAGCCAAAGAUCCCACAUAUAAGCUCCCUUGUCCAUGUAAAGUGUGCAACAACUUUGAAGAUCAAACUAUGGAGGUCAUGAAAAGUCAUUUGUGUGGUGGAAUUGUUUAGAGCUAUACUAGAUAUGUAUAUCAUGGUAAAACUUUGAAGAUUCUGAUGAUGAUGAAAAUGACAACAUAAAUAUAGAUGAAAAAAAAUAGUGAGUCCGAUGAUAUUCAGGAAAUGUUAAAUGACGUAGAAGCAGCUAACUUUGGUGAGAAUUGGAGAAAUUUGGGGGAAUAUAAUAGGGAUAUUUCAAAUGAGCAAGAAGGCAAGUAGGUUUCUUAGAUUAUUAUCCGAAGCUAAAAAAAGUCUUUACCUAGGCUGUGAUAAGUACUCCAAACUCUCCUUUGUUGUCCAUAUCUUUCUUUUGAAAACCAGGAAUUGAUGGACUUUGCAAAUCUGCCAAUAUGUUACUGAAAUUUCUCAAUCAAGUGUUUCCCAUGGUAUCAUUUCCUAGUUCAUACUAUGAUGCAAAAAAUUUAAUUCAUGAGUUGAGCCUCAAGUGUGAAAAAAUACAUGCAUGUGAAAAUGAUUGUGCACUAUAUUGGUAAGAAAAUGAAAGCCUAGAUCACUACCCGAAUGAUAAAUGUAAAUCACCUAGGUAUAAAUCUCCUGGUUCUAAAAUUCCUAGAAAAGUGUCUCGCUAUUUCCCAUUACAACCGAGGUUGCAAAGAGUAUUUUUAAGCAUAAGGAGAAAUGUGUUGACAAUGAAAACACAAUGAGACACCAGGCUGAUUCAAUAGCUUGGAAGGAGUUUGACAAAACUCAUUCAUCUUUGGCUAAGGAUCCUCGCAGUGCUAGGCUUGGGCUUUCAACUAAUGGUUUCAAUCCCUAUGGAAAUAUGAAUAAUACAUACAAUAUGUGGCUUGUAAUCCUUGUUCCUUAUAAUUUGCCACCUUUGAAAUGCUUAAAGGAGCCAUUUUUCCUAUUAUCAAUAAUUAUUCCAAGUCCUAAAUGCACAUGAAAUAAUAUGGAUAUAUUUUUUAGGCCUUUAAUUAUUGAGCUAAAAGAAUUAUUUGACACUGGCUUUGAGACUUAUGAUGCAGCCAUAGGAGAAAAUUUUAUGUUACUUGCUGCUCUUUUAUGGACAACAAGUGAUUUUCUAGCAUAAGCCUAUUUGUCAUGCUGGAGUACUAAAGGCUACAAUGCACUUGCAAAUCGUCCACUAUAUAUUGAUGAAUUAGGUUAGAAUUACCUUUCUGACUACUCCUGUAGUCCAAAUUUUGUGGUGCAUAGGCUAACUUUUGAUCUUUACUACUCUUAUUACUCAUAUCUUUGUUCAUUUUGAUCUUGGUUAAACUUCGUAAGUGCAGAAGAUGAGUGAGAGGAAUAAGAUCAAUAGUUCAAAGCAAAAACCACUCACAUAGUUGGAACAAAAUCCUUUCUUCAUCAUAAAACUAAUCGGGUAAUUGGCUAUCCUAAACAUGUAUUUCAGAUUGUCUAGUCAAGUUUUUUUAAUAUUUUAAACUAUUAGGAAGCACAAGAAGAAAGGGAAGUUGGACCAAUAGAAAUUUAUGACAUCACGCACUUCGGCAAGAAGAAGAAUAUAAUGGUUGACCAGACAUUUGCUAUGAACUUACUAAGAAAAUACAAAUUUUACUUGAAAAUAUAAUUUGUUCAACUCUCAUGCAUAUCUAACUUUGGAAAUUUUAUGAUUGUAGAGCAAGGUGAAAGAGAAAUUGUUGGAAUUUGAAUCUAGUGGUGCAAAUAGGAGUGAAGUGGACAUUUCCAUUGAAGUAAAUGAACAUGUAACUAGAUGUACAUGGUCGUGGUCUAUCCUAAGCUAUUGUAAUUGCACAAUAACUUUCAGAGAGAGAAGAAUUCAAGAAAAGAGUAUAACAAGCCGAAAAGCACUUAGCUGAAUUGGAAAUGGCAGUCCAAUCCCAACAGCAACUUAUGGAGAGGCUUGUAAACCAACAAAGUGAAAUGCAGAACCAAGACACAUCUACUCAUAUUGAAUGGUAAGCAAUUUUCAACUAUAUAUACUUGUCUAAAUUGUGUUAUGUUUGUAAAUGAGACGCUCUUGUAAUUUUACAGCAUAUAUGAGACCUUGAAUUGUGACUAAGACAUAUUUAUUAUAGAUACAGUGGCUGUUGCGAUUCAAAAAUAGCAUAAGUUAUUGAACCUUAAUCCUUGGUCUGUGACAAUAUUAACAUGUAAUUUGCCAAAGAAUUUAGUAAAUGCUUGUUACUUUUUUUUAUUUAGGAAAUUUGAAGGUUGUUAUACGUCUUUGAUAUUAAGAGCUUCCUUUGCCUGUGACAAUACUUGUUUUUUACUCUCUACAAUUGGUUCCUAUGUGCAUAUUAAGAGCUAUCUUUGAUUUUGUCUCUUAUUCUGCUCUUUAUGUAGUCACUAUUUGGAUGAGAGUUUAAAUAAAUGAGACUUUAUUUUUUUGUGAAUCCUCAUUUGAUUUUCCUUUUCUCAAGUUUGUUUUGUCAUCUACUAAUAAUUGUAUUUUUCUAUUGCAGAUAUAUUGCACAUUUUAGAGUUUUGGAAGAUGAGUAGCCGGGGCUAAUUAUUGACUCAAAGACUGGUUAUAGUGCUAUCUUAUGCUUAGGGAAUGUUUCGGGCAACACAAAAAUGUUUUGGGACUUGGAUUCGUUUUGUAUUGCUCCCUUGCCUUAUAUGAUAAAACUCACUCUGAUACUACUUGUCAAACUCUUUAUAAUGUGAUGUUGCACAAAAUUGUGAUAUUGGAAGGAUUAUUAUGAUAUUUUGGCAUUUUCUAUUGUAAUGGGUGAAUGCGUUUGUUAUUCAUUAAGCAUUGUUGGUGGCUCCCAUUUUUUUAUAUUACUGUAGCAAGAAAUAUAUCAGACUACACAGUGACAAGAUAUUGUAACUGAAUCACAUUUCUCCAAUGAUAAGCGCCUAUUGUUAGUAAAUCAGGUGCCUUUAUUGACAACAAUUGUUGUGACUGAAUUAAAUUCUAUACUAACAACAAUAUGUUGUCACUGUUGAAAGGUGUUUAGUGACAACAAAAUUGUUAGUAAUUGGACCAUAUACUGAUGACUAUUGUUGAGUUUUUGUGACGAUAUUGCUUCAUGCAUCAUUGACAAGAAGCCAUGUUGUCACUAAACUCCAAGCAUUUAUUGAUAAGAAAAGUUGUCACAAAAGCUCUUUAUUCACUGACGACUUUUAAGUCAUCAGUGUAUACUUUUACCGACGGGCAUUCAGUGACAACCCUGUGAUGACCGGAAAGUUGUCAGUAAAAUCCAUUAGUGAUGACUUUUUACUUUUUGUGACAAGAAUAGGUUGUCACUAAAGACCAAAUUUCUUGUAGUGGGACUUAGUGCUUUUCUUGGGCGUAAGCUAUGAAUCGUGCCUACUAUAAGUGUGAAUCCCUUAUUAUGAUACUUGAGAAAAAUAGAUAUGUAUGUUGGAUAGGAAUCUCUAAUAUAGAUGAUUUACUCUUGGGACAGGCCGGCUCGAGUUGUGAAUUAUUUUAUGGUGGAUUCUUGUACUUGAAUACCAAAUAGUGGAGAGCACUAGAAUAAGGAUUUGUAUCUUGAUUGCACUAAGGUGAGUUUUGAUGGCAAAGGUCAAAGUACAGAAGAUUCUAACAUUUGACCUAGUGAAUUAGACUGAUUGGAGAGAUUGGAUAUAGAAGGGUUAUCAUGGAUUAAUCUAGUCAUAGCCUGAUUAGGGAUUCUAUAGGCAGCGACCAGAUUAUAGUGUACAUCGAGAAAUUUGCAUCGAAGACCUGUUUCUUUCCCCUAUGCCCGUGAGGACUUGAUAAGUGUUUACUGGCCUUUGAGACAGUUUAAUUGCAAUUAUAUAGGUAUUUUAAACCCUUUUAUGAUAUCGGAUACUUGUAACUUGGUUCUUGAUGAAUUACCUUUGCUUAUACUUCCUUGCUACCUAACCACUAAUGUCAAAGUGUGGACUUGACUUGAUUAUUAUCGUGCCGAGAUCAGGAGUCUGGAAUUAGGUAUGGAAAUUUUAGAAAAAAGAUUUGGUUUCUAUACCUGUAUGCAAAACUUGAGAUAGGGUGUGAAACUAUUUAGAUAUGAAGCAUGUUUUAGGGUUUCGUUAGGUAUAUAAGUGAUAAGUGGCAUAGUAUAUUAAGAUAUUGCCCUAACUAUGUUUUACUUUCUCAUCUAUUUUAUUUGGAAAUACCUAAGUGUAAUUUUUUUUUUCGUGGUUGGAUUGGGAGUGAGGGAACUUUACAGUUAUAUGGUUUGAGUCCUGAGUGUACUCAGUUACUUAUUUUGAUCUCUUAAUUUGUCUGGCAAGCUAUCACUUGAGUUCGAGCGAAUUGGGGAGACGACACAUUUGACUGAUAUGUAUAAGGAAAUAGAGAUUCUUCAAAAGGAAAUAGAGUUCCAAAAGAGAUUAGGUGAGUAUUGGGAAGGGUGAUGGAAACAGGAGUAUUCGGAAAAAAUUGAGUUACUAUACAAGAACAUAGAAUUGAAGAAGAAAUAUGAAGAGAUCCUAGAAGAGGUACGGAGUAAGUUUGAGUUAGUGCCUUUGUCUAGUCGAACAGUAUCUCAGGACAUUCCUAGUAAUAAAGAUAAAUGGGGUGAAGGAAGUUCUUGCGAUAUCAAAGGAAAACAUAAAGAGAUGUAUGGAGAUGGAUCCGCUACGAAGGAUAAAGGAAAAAAGGAGAAAAAGAAUGGACACUUCCAGAAGAAAUGUAUAGCUGCUAAGUGUGAAUCAUGUAAUGAACUUCAUACGGGAACUGCCCAAGACAAAUGAAUUUUGGGAUGGUGAAACUGCUGUAAUAGUUAAAGUCAGCAAUUAGUGAUGUGUUAGCUGAAAUAAUUGCAUUUGUGAAACUAUGUAUAUGCAAACUUGAUGUAGUAAGUGUAUUCCCGAUAGAAGUAGUGAAUCUAGUAUUGGAUCUUUUGAUAAGUAAUAUUAAAUAUUGGUGAUUGGAUAGUUUUGAUUCCUGAUUCAUGAAUUUUUUAUUAUAGCUUAGUUUUGAAGUUAAGUGAAAAUUGCUGUUUGUGGUUCGAAAGGGGGAACUUUUGACAUUUUCACUAAUUUUCUUAGUAGGGAGUUUAAUCAUUGCAUUCUUACGAUUUUCUCUCUAGGUUUGAUUGUGGUAACGGUAUGAGUAAAGGGAAGCUCUUGAAAAGUAGAAGAUAUCACUGUAGAAUUUAGUUUUGUGGGCAAAAGAAGAAAAUUUCGAGGAUGAAAUUUCUUUAAGGGGGAGAGAGUGUGAGGACCUGUAAAAUUUUCUUAUAUUAUAUUAUUUUUGCAUGCAUUUCAUUUACUUUACUUUACUAUAUUAAUUUUUCAAAGAUUUUUAUAAGUGAAUAUAGUUUUUAAAUCAUUUUUCUGGUAUAAAUUAGUAUACGUUAAAUUUGAAGUGCAUUGUGGAUGUGGGAUCGGCUAGUGCGAUAAAAUUUUUACGAUUAGGUGAAAAGGUAUUCAGAAAUAUUAUUUUACAAGGUGUUAGGAGACAAUUAGAGAUUAACCAGAUAGAUUAACCAUUGGGAGAAAGAAUAUAAGCUUGAACCCUAAAAAGUGCCAAGUGUCACGACCCGAUUGGAUGUGACUGACCAAUUUUUCUUUACCUUUACCAAUUAUCAAAUUUUGACCAAAAAGCAUCUUCAUUUUCUUGCUUCUUGGCUGGCCCUCAAGAGAGAAAAGAACAAGAAAGAAACUUCAUUUUCAACUUCUAAACUUGCUUGAAUCUUGAGAUUUAGUCAACCACUUUGCAAACCAUUUCAUAAAAGUGUUAACUAAGGAAUACUAAAGGUGUUGGUGGAAUGAUUUUGAAGAAGAAAGCACCAAGCUUCCAUCUUUCUUGAAAGAACAAGGUAAUCUUGGCUAGAAUCUUCCCUCUACUUCAAUUAAUUGUCAAUUAGUGGAUUAUAGUUGCAAAAUAGGUAAUUUUAUGAGACAUAUGAUGGUUUGAAGUGGUGUUAUGAACAUUUUCAAAUUUUAUGGGGAUUUUUCUUCCCUUAUGUCAUGAGUAAUAAUUGGCUAUAGUUUGAUAGCUUUAUUAUGUGAAAUACUAGGGUAUUAUGGGUUAGAUGGACUUGUUUAAAGAAACUUUCAGAUUUUGGGAGUAAAUUUCAAAUUAGGGUUUCAAUUUAGGGCUUUAUUGUGUUUGGUUUUGGAGCUAUUAAUUGGCUCAAAUUGAAGGGGUAUUGUGGCCUAAUUAUGUGUGGUUUCUAACUUAUGUGUUGCGUGUGUAAUUGUGGUUGAUUUGAGUUGAGAUUGGUGAUGACUUGGAGGGUGGAAAGUAAAGAAAAACAAGGUUGAGCAGUUUUGAGAAAUCUAUUGUAUCUUGAUGACGAAAAAUUGGAAUUACGUUCUGUUUGUUGCAUUUGAAACUAUAUUCAUAGAGCUACAAACCAUGAAAAUUUUAGACCCUAGUUCUGUCUGUGUGAUUUAUGGUGAUUUUUCCAAUGUUGACUAAAAUUACAUACUUGUUCUGUCUUUUACUUGAUGAAGCAGCGACUUGAGGCUCGAAUUUGACUGACUUGUGGUAUGAAUCUUAUAAAUGUGUCUUCUGAGAAUUUGUACCCCUUUGAGUCUAUUUUUCGACAGUAUAUAUUUUAUCAAUUUUGAACUUAAGAAUCUUGAGAUAUGAUUUUUCAAAUGGUGGUGGGCAAAACUGGAAAAUCCUAUUUUCCUAGAAUUAUUCUUACUUUCAUUUUGCACCUUAAAUUUAGAGUUAGUAAAUCAUUGUAGGUAUGGUUUUCGGUAGAAGCGAAGGAUUUUUGGAUCGUUCAUGUCUUUAGGACCAGCUACUAACUUUUCACUCCAAAACUAUACUUUUGUGUUGCAUUGAUAAUUAGGCAUAUGACUCGUAAUCGAGUAUCAAUUAUUUUACCUUGGUGGUUUAGGAUGUGCCAGUGAUCCAAGUACUUCGGAAGGAAACAUUUGAAGUUGUUUGUUUGAAUUGGUAAGUAUACCACUCCCCUAAUUUGUUGCUUAUCUCGGCUUUCUGUGACUUUUGUAUACUUUGUAUGAAACGAGGGUGUACUUUAUCACACUCGUUUCUCUCAUCUGUUUAUUCUGGUUUCUGUAUAUUGUAAAGUCUGUAUUUGUUCUCUGUAUCUGUUCUCUGUAUUUAUUGAUGUCGUUUGGAGGGUUGAGUUCAACGACCAUUUUAUGACUUUUGAACUCAAAAUCGGGAGCUAGUUACUCGAGUCGAACCGGCAAGGGGCCUAGUCGAUUAGAUAACGAACCACGGUAAUCCACUUCUAGGAAAUCUUUGGAUAUUGGAGACUCUGGAUUUCCGGUAUACUCGAGUAUUACCACCCACUGUUACUGUUGAGGUGUUCGGGCCUGGUAAGGGAUAUGUUUGGUGGACGGAAUUUGGCGUAAAGUGGUGCUCUAUUAGACUGGUUACUAUACUUGAAAGUUGACGGAGUAUCAACUACUACUUGAUCAAGCACUAAUGAAGAAAAAGGGAAUUUGGCUCUUGAGAGCCAUUUGUAUCUUUUCUAUUUGAGAUGGUUAUUCAUUUCCUUAUUUGACGUGAUCAUUUCAUUGAUUCCAUAAUUCCUGAUUGCUUGUAUAUUGGGUACCUCAUUGAACGUAAAAUCACCACCUUCCUGUUAUCUUUGUUUUCUUUACAGGGAACAACACUUUUGAACCGUGAUUUUAAAGAAAGGGUCGAGUUAGUAUAAACGUUCUUUUGUAAUCAAAACCCUAAUUUGUCUCUUAAUCAAGUAUCACGUUUUGAUUUGUAAAGUUUUCAAUGUAUGUAUAUAAGUGUUUAACCAUGUACAUUAAGUGUAUUCGUUUGAUAUGGUACCUUUGAAUUUGUUGAGAUGCUACUUGCAACCAUUGGUCGAGCGGACGAGCAUGAUGUUUGAACAAGGAAAGAAAAUUUCUGGCGGGAACUGUUCACGAAUCCGGCGGUGUAUUCAGCCAGUCCUUGGCCGGAUAUCUGGCCGGAUUAGCAGAGGAUUUUGAAAAAUUUUUGGGUUGCUCACUGCCUCGAAUCCGACCAGCAAUCCGGUAGGAUUGUGACGUGGCAGCUACUGUUCAUUUUCAUCUUUUUUUUUGUUUUUCAUUUUUCGUUGUUCGUGAAUCGUUUGAUCGCAAUGUUAUCGCUCAGAAUGGUUUGGCCUUCGUGUUCUCGGCUUAGUAAUCUUCGAUUGUUGUUUUCUUGGGGUUCGAUUGUGUGUUAUGUAGGAUUUUUGUGAUUUGACUCUGUAGUUCUGGUGAGAGUUGGGCAAGCGGUCCACCAAACCCUUUGGUUCGCCUUAAGAAAAGGUGGGCGGCCACAAUGGGGACCUGCCAAGACUCCAUCCCUUGGAGACAGGUACUAUUUUGUCGCUUUUGUUGAUAAUUUUUUCAGAAGAGUUUGGGUAUUUACUGUGAAUAACAAAGAUAAUGUGCUAGGGGUUUUCCUUAAAUGGAAGGCUCAGGCUGAAAAUCAGACGGGAAGAAAGAUCAUGGUUCUCCGAACAGACAACAGCGGAGAAUACAAGAGUGAUCCCUUUCAGGAGAUAUGCCAAGAGUGUGGCAUAGUUUGGCAUUUCACAGUUAGAAGAACACCACAGCAGAAUGGGGUGUCAGAGCGUAUGAACAAGACACUAGUGGAGAAAGCACGUUGCAUGCUGUCUAAUGCUGGGUUAAACAGAAAAUUUUGCCCUGAGGCUGUGACAUACACUUAACAUCUCGUUAAUCGCUUGUCAUCAUCUGUAAUCGAUGGUAAGAUUUUAUUAGAGGUAUGGUUUGGAAAACCUGCAACAGACUAUGAUUCUUUACAUAUUUUUUGUUCUAUUACAUAUUAUUAUGUAAAUGAAUCAAAGUUGGAUCCACGAGCAAAGAAGUCUUUCUUUAUGGGCUUUAAUGUUGGAGUUUAGAGAUACCGUUUGUGGUGUCUAAAAGCAAAGAAAACCAUUAUUAGUAGGGAUGUUACCUUUGAUGAAUAUGCCAUGUUGAAUAAGAUAACCCAAGAUGGGACCAAUGUUACUCCAUAAUAGGUGGAGUGUAUGCCGAAACAAAUAGAGUUUGAGCAAAUAAUGGUGAGUCUAACAAAUAGCACCAUCAGUGACUCUCAUAUGGCAGAAGAGGAGUCAAAUCAGAAAGAGAUUUCUACCCAAGAACCUCAAUAACAGCAAGAGUCAAUUGCCGUCAAUAGGCCAAAACGAGAAAUUCAAAAACCUGUUCGUUUUGCUAACAUGGUGGUUUAUGCACUUCCAGCUGUUGAUGAUGUUCCAUCAACCUUUUUUGAAGCAGUUCGAAGUGCAAAAAAUGGUAGAUGGAAAGAUGCUAUGGAAGAAGAGAUGCAAUCUCUUUAGAAGAACAAGACGUGGAAGUUGAUAUAACUACUGAAGGGCAAGAAGGCAAUUGGAUGCAAAUGGAUAUUUGCAAAGAAAGAAAGAUUUCCUGACAAGAUUGAUGCUCGCUACAAGACAAGAUUGGUGGCUAAAAACUACGCUCAGAAAGAGGAAAUUGAUUAUAAUGAGAUAUUUUCUUCAGUUGUUAAAUAUUCCUCUAUUAGAAUUUUGUUGGCCUUGGUAGCACAGUUGAAUUUGGAGCUAACUCAAGUUGAUGUGAAGACCGCGUUCCUUCACGGUGACUUGAAGAAAGAAAUCUAUAUGUCUUAGUCAGAUAGAUUCAAAGUUACUGGUAAAGAGAAUUGGGUUUGUAAGAUGAGCAAAUCGUUGUACAAAUUGAAGCAUUCAUCGAGGCAAUGGUACAAACGAUUUGACCAGUUCAUGAUGGACCAGAAGUACACAAGAAGCAAAUAAGAUCAAUGUGUGUAUUUGUGCAAAUUACGAGAUGAUUCCUACGUCUACUUACUCUUGUAUGUUGAUGAUAUGCUAAUAGUAUCAAAGAGCCAAGUUGAAAUUGACAAAAUGAAGGCUCAAUUGAAUAAAGAGUUCGAGAUGAAGGAUUUGGGAGAAAUUAAAAAGAUUCUCAGUAUGGAGAUAAGCAGGGAUAGAACGAGAAGUAAGUUUUGUCUAACACAGAAACAGUAUUUGAAUAAGGGACUACAACGUUUUGGUAUGAAUGAAAGUUCAAAACCUGUAAGUACUCCGCUUGCUUCUCAUUUGAAACUUAAUAGCCUAUUAUCUCCAAAGGCGGGUGAAGAGCGAGCAUAUAUGACGAAAGUCCCGUAUGCUAAUGCAAUUGGUAGCUUGAUGUAUGCAAUAGUGUGUAUGAGACCCAACAUUUCACAGGCAGUUAGUGUGGUAAGCAGAUUUAUGCAUGAUCCGAGCAAAGGUUAUUAGCAAGCUGUGAAAUGGAUUCUACGGUAUAUCCAAGAUACUGUAGAUGUUGGAUUAGUAUUUGAGCAGGAUGAAUCACUUGGUCAAUUUGUAGUUGGAUAUUGUGAUUCUGACUAUGCAGGUGACUUGGAUAAGCGACGUUCGACAACUGACUCUUUGUUCACAUUUGCCAGGGCACUAGUUAGUUGGAAAUCUACUUUGCAAUCAAUAGUAGCUUUGUUUACAACAGAGGCAGAGUAUAUGGCGAUUACUGAAACUGUGAAGGAGGCAAUUUGAUUUCAAGGAUUGUUUGAAGACUUGGGAGUUGGUUAAAAAUACAUUAAUGUGUUUUGUGAUAGUCAAAGUGCUAUUCACUUAGCAAAGAACUAUAUCUUGCAUGCAAAAAUGAAACACAUUGAUGUUCGCUAUCACUUUGUAUGAAAAAUUCUCGAAGAAGAGGAGAUUUUUCUCCAGAAAAUUCGGACUACGGAGAAUCCUGUAGAUAUGAUGACCAAGGUGAUUAUAAGGUCCAAAUUUAAACAUUAUUUAUACUUGGUCAACAUCCAACACAUUUGAGUUGGCGCCUGAGGGCGCAAAUUUGGAAGCACCGCAAGGACCAUUUGUUAUUUUUGUUUGAGGGAGAAGGUUUAUAUUUUUGGUGGAACUAGAAAUUAUGUCAAGGUGGAGAUUUGUUGACUUUUGGCAUAUUUGCUAAGUCCCACAUCGGUGACUUUAGAAAUUGAAGGAUUGCUUGAGAGUUAUAAAAUAAUUCUCAAACUUCCUAAUAGAAACACACCAAAGAAGAGACACCAAACUUCUCCCAAAUUUAUUAAGAACAUGUCACUUAGGCGGUAUUCGAAAAUUAGGCAAAAUUAGUUGAACUCCAUUAUCAAUUUUCGGGUGCAUUCUUUCCUUAUCUCUUUUAUUUAUUCCGCAUUUAUUUAGUAGUUUCUUUUCAAUUGUAGUAUAACAUUCAAUAUAUUUGUCGGGUUUAUUUGUAGUAUUUUAUACGGUUCUUUUGGAUAUAUUUUUCUUAUUCAUGUGUACGUACCAUUUAUGUAUACACAGAUCUAAUUGUGAUAAUACACCAUGCACGUAAAUUCUGUCAUAAGAAAACUGGGUUUUAAGUAGGACCGCUUGUGACCCCUCCAACCUUUCCUGGAAAUUUACUUGGAAUGAUAAUUCUGUUUAAGAAAAUUUUUUAAUGAUCUUUCUUAAGAAUUAUUGAAUCAGUUUAAAUUACUAAUACUAUUUUUGAGUGAAAAAUUACCCAAUUUUCCCAACAAAAAGAUCUAGAUUUGUGCCACGUUCAAGAAUCUCCUAGCGCCUCAAUUGUGGUCUUUCUUGUUAUUUGUCCACUUCAUGAUAUUAAUUGAGGUGUUCAAACAACAAUUAAUUUCUUUCAGCAUGAUUCCUUUGACUUUCUAGGACAUAUUUGAUAGUACUAUAUAUAUAUAUAUAUUUGUUUAACUCAUGGUUGUAGUCUCCUUAAUAUCUUGUAUGUGAAAAGUGCACCGGAAAGUGAUUAUUUCUGAAGUGCUUUUAUUUACAUAGUUUAGCAGUUUCUUUUUUGGGUCGAAAAUUUAGUUUAUUAGUCAAUAAUAGAAAUGUGUCAUGAUUCCAGUCUUGUUAGUGUAAGUAGGAUUAUACUAUCCACUAUAACAAUCUUUUUUUUUUUUUGAUUGACACAGGAAUAUCCUGACUUAUGUCAAACUAGUCCCCUGUGAUAGUGCAGAACCUACUCUAAAGAUGCACUGUCAACCUAGUGGCCUCAAUGUAAAGAUCCAAGAGAGGCGCCAUUUGAUCUACCUAUGGGAGCCCACUAUAGCAAUCAGGUGCAGUACAACUUGCAUUCAAGCAGUCUUGGACAUGGUUUAGCAUAGUGUGUGAUUUACCAUGUGUUAAUUCUGACAUCAAAUGAGCUUAUGAAAUGUGUAAUAGCUUUUGAACCCCAAUGCCUAGCUUAGAUGGGAACAGUGUUUUUCACUGGAAGGAAUCAGGUACAAUAAUAUUACAACAUAGAAAGAGGCAGAAGAAAUACAUGUAUUCCAAGAAAGAGGAAGUAACAAGGACAACGAAAGUGUAAGGGAGAGAGUAUAAAUUAUAAAGAAUGUAAGUUAGAGAAGACGGUUAGGCAACAGCAACAAAUUUCAGGGCUAGCCUGCAGGCCAAGUGAAGCACUUGGUUCAAGACCGCAGAAGCUUAGGACAUGUCAUUCUUUCCAUAAUUCUGUUUUAUCAAUCUUACAGCAGAUUUCUUCUUCAUUCUUUUUGGAUAUUAUGGAUACUACAACAUACAAUUACUUUGCUUUUUGAAUAAUUCAGCUUGAUGUAUAGAAUCCAUCACAACUACAUUUAAGCAUAUUCAUGAACAGAUCUCCCUUACUGAAUACCUGCAAAGUGUGAUCUUGAUAAUUUCCUUCACAUUUGAUCACUCCAUCUAACUCAAUUCAUCACUUGUGGCUAGGGGUGAGCAUCGAAUUCGAAUUCGGUAAUUCGGUAGGUUGAAAUCGAUAAUUUUCGGUAAAUGGUGUUGGGAUAUUUCGACCUAAUUCGUAUUCGAAUUACCAAAUUCCGAAUUCGAAUUCAAUUCGGAUUGAAUUCGGUAAACACAAAUUGACCGAAUUGUCCGAAUUCCUGAAGCAAUCGCAGCCUGUUUUGCUUUGUAUAAUAAAAUAAUUUCUAGCAAUAAAAUAAGUGCUGUUCACAAUUAUCAUUCAUAAAGCUGCACCAAAAUAAUCAAAAAAUAGAAGUAGUAAUCACGUCCAUAGGCACAAUAGCCAGAUGAUUGCACUACCAAAUCACAACAUAUAAAACCUCUUCCUAGUAGCUAACGCCUACCAGUUCAAAACAGCAUUACUUAAGAAAUCACAAAUCCAAACAGAAUCUAGAAAACUUCAAAAUUACUAACUAUCCCAAACUUCAUACAUAUCCAGAAAUGACAAAUCCACAAAUCCAGAAAUCAUAAAUUCACAAUCAGAAAUUACAGAAAUCAAUCCAGAAAUCAUAAAGGUCAAUUAUCUAGAAACAAUCCACAAUCCACAAGAACAAACAAUUAUAGGUGGUUCAACUCUCAAACUUCAGCAUUUGUGACCUCUCAAAGGUCAAUUACAGUUGAUUCAGUUCCGGUCUUCAGCAACUCUGCAAGAACAAACAAAAUUCAUGAAGUAUCAUAAAGGCAAUUAUUAAAAAUAAAGAAAUACUUCAAAUUUUGCAAUAAAAAUUUUGAUAGCAUACCAGAUUCGAAGGCUUCAAGUUCUUCCAGAUUUUCUUCUACAUUUAAUUCUGUCUUGGAGGACCGAAACCAAUCUUGAGCACAUAUUAAACUUUGCACAAUUCUAGGAGUCAAAGAACUCCUAAAUGUAUCAAGAACACGACCUCCGGUACUAAAAGCAGAUUCGGAGGCCACAGUAGAAAUUGGGACUGCUAACAUAUCACGAGCAAGUUUUGAAAGGAUUGGGAAUCUAAGGCUAUUGGCCUUCCACCAUAACAAGAUAUCAAAUCUCUCAUCAUCUUCCUCACAAUCCUCAUUCAAAUAUUUCUCUAAUUCAGAUUUUGCAUCCCUACCCCCAAGUUCCAUUUUUCUCUUCUUAAACUCCAACUUGUACCGAUCAGUGAUUGUUUUAGAGGCAUCCCCAUAUCCAUAAAAUGUAGUUUUACUCCUUUGAGAUUCACUUGAAAGUGAAGAAACAUGAGACACAGAAUUUGAGGCAGGUGUGUUGAGCAUCUUGUAUUCAUUAAACAGCUCAAACAUUGCAUCUUUUGCAAGGCCAGCUAUUGUUGUACCAUCGGACUCACCAUACAUUUGGCAAACCACAAAUUCAAGGUAUUCAAGUUUAGUUCGAGGAUCAAGCAUGGAGGAAAUAAAAAUCAGCAUAUUCAUCUUUUCAAUCUUUCCCCAAUACUUAUCAUAUUUAUCCUUCAUUGAUCUUGCCAUUGAACUUAAUUCUUCAUUAUCACUUGCUGCCAUUUCAAUUAAAAUGCCAUGUAUGUGACUAAUAUCAGUGAAAAAAUUAUUUGAAGUCACAUAUUUGGAACCAGAAACCUUCACAGUUAGCUGAUAAAAGUUCUCCAAAAAAAUUACCAAGAAUCUAGCUUUUGUCCAAUCAGAUUUUGUUGGCAGAUUUUCUAACUCUUGAAGCAUGUAAGGAUCCUGCUCCUCGAACCUCUCAAAAGCCCGCUCAAACCUUUGAGCCGUGUCUAGCAUUAGAUAUGUAGAAUUCCACCUAGUAGAGACAUCUAAACAGAGCAAUCUUUUGCAUUCAAUUUUUUCAAUUUCCACACAUUCCUUGAAUUUUUUCAAUCUAGAAGGUGACUGUCUAACAUAUCUAACUGCUGCCCUGAUACAAUCAACUGAAUCCCCCAGUUUUUUGAUGCCAUCAUUAACAAUUAGAUUCACUAUGUGAGCUACACACCUCACAUGAGUCCAUUUCCCCCCUAACACAGCUUUCCCCCAAUUUUGAAGUUUUCCUCGUAAAUAGCUGACAGCUACAUCAUUGGAACUUGCAUUGUCAACUGUAACAGUUAGGAUAUCAUCAACUCCCCAUUCUAGUAGACAUUUUUCUAUGGCCUUACCAACUUCAGUUCCCUUGUGACUAGCAAUAGGACAGAAAUUUAGGAUCUUUUUGUUCAGUUUCCAAUCAUUAUCUAUGAAAUGGGCAGUGAGGCACAUAUAGUUUAUCCUUUGAAUGGAUGUCCAAGAAUCUGUGGUUAGACAAAUUUUGCCACUGUUAUUCUUCAAGAGAUGUUUCAACUUAAUUUUUUCAUCUAAAUACAGCUGAUAGCAAUCUCUAGAAAUAGUCCACCUCGAAGGAAUUCUAAAUGAUGGACAAGCAGUCCGCAUCAUGUAUUGAAAACCUCUACCCUCUACAUGUUUAAAUGGCAACUCAUCAACAAUUACCAUAUAAGCUAUGCUUUUUCUAAUGGCUUCCGCAUCAAAUUUCCAACUUAUGAGUGCCCCUUUAACCUCUCCCUCUAAUGUUUCAGUUUCACCCAAACACAAAGUAGCCUGGCCAGUGUGCUUAUUUUUAGGAUUUAGAGGACAUUUAGCUACAUGAGUAUUAAGGGGAGUCGUACCAUGACUUUUGGGAUCCGCGGCUAUGUCCUUCUCACAGUAUUUGCAAAUUGCAUGACGAACUCCAUUCACAUGCUUUACAUGAAAAUGAUCCCAAGCUUUGGACCUCUUCUUGUACUCUCCUCUUUUCUUGCCAAAACCAGAUUCUUCACAGCUUUGUGUUGUAGGACUAGGAAGAAGACCUCUAGAUGAUCCUUCUUGUUCUAACUCAUUGUGACUUGGAUUACUCUCACCAUCAUUAGUAGUAGACAUACCUUAAGUUUUGCGCGAAUCUGAGCAAAUAAAUUAUACAAUUUAGUGCAACAAUCAUUUAGCAAUAAAAUUGAAAUAAAAGACUAGAUGAAAUUGAAGAACCAACUCAGGACAACAUUCAAUGAACGCUGAGAAAAUCAACUAGAACCAACUCAGAACCAACUAGAUGAAAUCUGAGCAAAUUCAAUGAAGCCAGUCACUUUCUUAUCAUAGAACAAACUCAAGACAGAAACCAUAUAGGAAGCAUUAACAUCACAAUGCAGAAAAAGAAGAGGUGAUUCAUUACUGGUUUAGUGCAAGUUAUCUAGAUUCAAACUGGGGCUCUAGUCUAGCUAGCUUGGAUGCUCUAAAGUGGGCCAAACAACAUUUGCCGGCCAAUGGGCAUACUCGACAGCACAAGUGUUGAAGAGCAACUGUAAACAGCUGAAAAAUGAGCCAGUACCUACCUAUCCUGGCCCUGGAAUGGGAUAGCCUUUCUGAACUUUGUCAACUUUUUUCCUUCCAAAGGGGAAAAAAAAACAUACAAGAGAAAUAAAAAUUAAGAAAGGAGGGAAAGUGAGAGAUCAAGAAACUAAAUCAAAAGAAAAAUUAAGGCUAAGGUAAAUGAAUCUUUGUAAUGAUUAUUUCGAAAAAGCAAACAUAUCCCUCAGAAUGCCUAAUAUCCACCUGGGAAGAAGCUAUGGUUCCUCAACCUUAGCACAAUCAGGAUUGCUAGAAGGGAGCACCAAUUUAUAGUCACAGCUUUCAGAUUACUAAAUGUUUCAUCAGUGGGAUAUCAAAAGUUUGAUAUAAUUAGUCAAGAAUCAACCUCCCACAAAUCUUGAAACUUCAAAUAAAUGAGAAGAAUUUAAAAAAAAAAAAAAGAAAGGACCCAGAAAAUUUCAUUUAAAACCACAAACAGGAACCCCAACAACUAUAAAAAUCAAGAACAACAGAUAUAAAAGAAUGAAUGAAUCAGAAAAUUGGAUCAAAAGCAGAUUUGUAAAUGCAAAGAUUAAGAAGAAGAGAGGGAGAACCGGCUCAAGUUUGCUGCACUAGAAGAAGAAUGAAACUGAUCCAAGUUUGCUCAAGUUUGUACCGGCUCAACUACUCUUAUCCAAUUCAAAAACUCAUAACUUUUAUCAAGAUUCAAUCAGGAAGGAAAUUGAGCAUCAAACAUCAUACAAGUUCCACUGAAAUUAAAUUAGCCCAUAUAAAAAAACUAGCAAAUUAAACAACGACAUCCAGAAUCAAAUACCAAAAGAAAAAAAAACACCAAAUGAAAAUCCAAUUAUUGAGUCUUUUUCAUAAACCCAUUUACCUGAUAGGCUUAUCCAAGGCUUCACUGGAAUCAGCACUAGCGAACUGUGGUCCUGGACCUCCCGGUGAUAGUGGAUGCUCCGCUCGGUCAGCAAUGGUGAAACCUCGGUCAGAAUGGGAAACGGAGAAAGAGUGGACUGAGCAGAGGAGAGGAAAGGACAGAGGACUGACUGAGGAGAGGACUGAGCAGAAUGAGGAGAGGAGAAGAAACGAGAGAAAGAGGGGAACUGAGGAAGAUGGGACUGCGCCGCGGGCCGCGGCAGUGCAGAGGAGCGAGAGGAAGAGGGGACGAAGAGCGGAAUUAGGGCACCACGUCUGAAAAUCUGAAAUUGGACCAAUAUGAAUAUCGGACAUAAUGAACUAUUUCCUAUGUAACUUAAUUCGGGAAUUUCGAAAUUGAAAACGGUAUAUUAUUACCGUUUUACCGAAAUUAAAUCGAAUUCGGUAUAUCCGAAUUCAAAAACUAUAAAAUCGUUUUCGAACCUAAUUCGAUUUCAACUUGUACUAUAUCCCCGAUUUACCGACCGAAUUACCGAAUUAUCAAAUUCGAUUUACCAAAUUGAAAUCGAUUUCGGUCGGUAAAUCGGUAUUUACCGUAAUUGCUCACCCCUACUUGUGGCACAUUUUGUACACAAAAUCUGGGCGACCUCAUGUGUGCCUUAGUCAACUAAAACUGUAAAUCUACAAAGGAAGUUGGCUGAUUAUUGGACUGCCUACUCAAAAGUAAUCCACCUUAAAUUCGCAAAGAAGAUAAUCGUCUUUGCAAUCCUAUGUAAUAAAAAAUGUUGUAGCCUCUGAACUUUUUGCAAUGACCUUAAAGUAGCCCUCAUGCACAAGUUCUCUCCUUUAUUGAAAUUUUCUUACGAAACAUUCCUUAGCAGGCAUUUUCUGCUGUUUAAUUUCCAAAAUGAGUCUCCUUCUAAUCACUUUCCAACCUAGUAAAUUCUUGAGCACGAAAGUGGAACUGAAGAUUUCUGAGGCAGGUUCAAAGCAAAAGGCAGCGUCACUCAGCGGCAACCAGUUCAAUCAUUUGGAUAAUCACAACCAGACCAAAAAAUUAAUCAUACAAAACCAGCAACUGAAAGCCAAAAAAACUCGUAGAGAUCAAUACUUAGCUGAAAAAUAUAACAUUAGAACUGUGAUUAGAAAUCACAUAAUCCUUCACAUCUGAAAUUCAUCUCACUUUUUGACACCUUGCCCAAAACUCACAGAUAAUAAUUCCCAUUAAAACUUUAGACCCAAAGUAAAGAAUUGAUAUUAUACAGCUACCAAUGUACAUAAAUAGAUCUGGAUAUUUUAACAUCAGAAAUGUCUGCUUUUCUUUGAACCUAUAGAGCAUAUUACAUGAUUCAGUAUAAGAUGCCUUGGAGACUGUAACUAGCUUCAUAAUCCAGUUACAGCAGAAUGGAAUAGCAUAUAAAACCUGAAUUAGGAAGGAAAACAACUGCUUCCAUGCACCCUAUCUAACUGCUCUAGUCGAAAGGGAAUCCAGAAUUAAGGAAAACAAUUGCUGCAGCUAUAAGCUAACUGUGCUACUCUUAAGGAAGGAUUUUCAAUUUCUUUUAAAAAUCCAUGCAUACAAGAUCACCAUUUCGGUGCAAAGUACCAAAGGACUAUCCACGCCCAUAAUAAUAAUCUAACAUUUAGAAGAGGCCACUGCCAGAAGCACUGGAUCACAAGUCUUCUCGAAGGAAAAUAAAAAGCAACGAACUUUUACAUCUAAGUCCUAAUGCCUGCUGAGUCAUCCUAAAAGAGAACAAGGCAUGAACAAAAAAUUACGAACUGCCAUAGUUCCAAGGCCCCAGCCUAGCUCCAUCACAUCAUUGGAACUAUACAAUGGGAGUUGAUAUGUUCUGGGGAGGCUGUGGAACCAUGCAAUGUUGUUACUGCCAUUGUUGUAAACCCUCAUUCACAUUCAUCCCCACUUUCUGCUCAGAACCAACAGUAUUAUCUUCAACAUCCAUAGUUGAUACCUCUGCGUCAUCAGCUUCCAUCAUAUCAGAAACAUCUAUUUGGGGAAUAGCUUCAUCUCCACUUGUUGAAUAAAGCUGAGGUGGCGGCACCCAAGGAACAACUGCUAGACACUAAUUUUGUGGAUCAGACUUGUUAUCAUCUGUUCUUUCUUCACUAUCUAAUGCUCUCCAUUGACUAGAGUAAUUGGAC
This 19674-nucleotide long non-coding RNA is filed under the name Coffea arabica (coffee). Its description in RNAcentral is "long non-coding RNA (CARA_LNC007100)". The record is from RNAcentral. Lineage: Eukaryota; Viridiplantae; Streptophyta; Magnoliopsida; Gentianales; Rubiaceae.